CCCUUAGAUGUUCUGGGCUGCACGCGCGCUACACUGAAGCGUUCAACGAGUAUUCACCUUGCCCGGGAGGGUUGGGUAAUCUUUUGAAAACGCUUCGUGAUGGGGAUAGAUUAUUGCAAUUAUUAAUCUUCAACGAGGAAUUCCUAGUAAGCGCGAGUCAUCAGCUCGUGCUGAUUACGUCCCUGCCCUUUGUACACACCGCCCGUCGCUCCUACCGAUUGAGUUAUCCGGUGAAUAAUUCGGACUGCAGCACUGCUUGGUCUCCAGGCUUUGCAGCGGAAAGUUUAGUGAACCUUAUCACUUAGAGGAAGGAGAAGUCGUAACA
This 325-nucleotide ribosomal RNA is filed under the name uncultured eukaryote. RNAcentral's name for it is "partial 18S ribosomal RNA". It matches the Rfam family "Eukaryotic small subunit ribosomal RNA", at positions 1470 to 1796 of the family's 1831-position model. The record is from RNAcentral.